RNAcentral lists this transfer RNA (91 nucleotides) under Alphaproteobacteria bacterium. Its description in RNAcentral is "tRNA-Leu". It matches the Rfam family "tRNA". From Rfam's summary of the family: Transfer RNA (tRNA) molecules are approximately 80 nucleotides in length. Their secondary structure includes four short double-helical elements and three loops (D, anti-codon, and T loops). Further hydrogen bonds mediate the characteristic L-shaped molecular structure. tRNAs have two regions of fundamental functional importance: the anti-codon, which is responsible for specific mRNA codon recognition, and the 3' end, to which the tRNAs corresponding amino acid is attached (by aminoacyl-tRNA synthetases). tRNAs cope with the degeneracy of the genetic code in two manners: having more than one tRNA (with a specific anti-codon) for a particular amino acid; and 'wobble' base-pairing, i.e. permitting non-standard base-pairing at the 3rd anti-codon position. The record is from RNAcentral. Lineage: Bacteria; Pseudomonadati; Pseudomonadota; Alphaproteobacteria.
GCCGGGGUGGCGGAACUGGAAGACGCGAGGGACUUAAAAUCUCUUCUGCCCUCUCCGCGGGCUGCGGGUUCGACUCCCGUCCUCGGCACCA